RNAcentral lists this ribosomal RNA (823 nucleotides) under Gatesona chaetophora lablacherensis. RNAcentral describes it as "Allolobophora chaetophora lablacherensis partial large subunit ribosomal RNA". The stretch from base 430 to 823 matches the Rfam family "Eukaryotic large subunit ribosomal RNA", at positions 665 to 1023 of the family's 3401-position model. Lineage: Eukaryota; Metazoa; Annelida; Clitellata; Crassiclitellata; Lumbricidae. The record is from RNAcentral.
GUGAACCGUCUAGAGGCAAACGGAGAGGACCGUAUGGUCCGCCCGUCGGAUUCAGUCCGCGAGCCCGGCCGGGGCGUCGGCGGCGCAUCCCUCGUGGGAGCGCUCCGGCGUCUGUUCGGCCGGGCCGCGGCCGUACUUUCGGCGGGCGGAGCGCCACGACCGGUUCGCGGGCGGCGAGAAACUCCCGGGCAAGGUGACCUUCGCCUCGGCGCAGGAACAUAUAGGCCCGGCGAGCGGAGGCCCGUCGGCGGACCGAGGAAGACCGUCGCGGGGCGGCGUCGACCGCCCGUCGUGCUACGGCGUUCGACUCGGGGGGACUGGUUCCAGUGCCCUCGGACCGCGCCGGCGCAUCGGCGGGACGGCCCGGCGUCGCCUCUGGGGUCGGUGGCGAAACGGCCGGCAACCUGUCCGACCCGUCUUGAAACACGGACCAAGGAGUCUAACAUGUGCGCGAGUCGUUGGGCGCUACGAAACCCGAAGGCGCAAUGAAAGUGAAGGCCCGGUCUCGUGCCGGCCUGGGUGGGAUCCGGGCGGCCUCGGCCGUCCGGCGCACCACCGGCCCGUCUCGAUCGCGACGUCGAUGAGGCGGAGCAAGAGCGUACACGUUGGGACCCGAAAGAUGGUGAACUAUGCCCGAGUAGGACGAAGCCAGAGGAAACUCUGGUGGAGGUCCGCAGCGAUUCUGACGUGCAAAUCGAUCGUCAAACUUGGGUAUAGGGGCGAAAGACUAAUCGAACCAUCUAGUAGCUGGUUCCUGUCGAAGUUUCCCUCAGGAUAGCUGGCGCUCGUCGUGAGCAGUUUUAUCCGGUAAAGCGAAUGACUG